GUAAACUCAGAGAUUAAGAGUAUUAAGGAAUAUUUAUUGCUCAGAGAGCUGUCGGUCGGUGAAAGACAGUCAAUAAACUCCCCAACUCGCUUAUGAGAGGUCAGGCUGACAUGUAGGUCUGAACGGUUCACUUCCGUAAUAAAGUCUUAAGAAGGUUUGUUCAGUUUACAAACCAAUAAGAGUGGUACCACGAAGGGUAAACCUGUCGUCUCUUUU
This 216-nucleotide non-coding RNA is filed under the name Paenisporosarcina sp. RNAcentral describes it as "T-box sequence". It matches the Rfam family "T-box leader". From Rfam's summary of the family: Uncharged tRNA acts as the effector for transcription antitermination of genes in the T-box leader family. T-boxes are found upstream of many aminoacyl-tRNA synthetase genes and some amino acid biosynthetic genes usually in Gram-positive bacteria. The anticodon of a specific tRNA base pairs to a specifier sequence within the T-box motif, and the NCCA acceptor tail of the tRNA base pairs to a conserved bulge in the T-box antiterminator hairpin. Lineage: Bacteria; Bacillati; Bacillota; Bacilli; Caryophanales; Caryophanaceae. The record is from RNAcentral.